GAACCAACUGUAUGACUCACAGUUGUGAGCCCCUGCAAGAAAUGAUCAACAAUGUACCCUGAUGAAUCACAAAACAGAACAAUGACCAAAUCUGGGAGUAUUUGGGCAGUAUUUUCACCCGGAACAUGCAAGGUAAGAGCCAGGUGAGUAAUUAGCCAUGACUUUUAAUAAGUGACUAAUCCCCUGAGAGAAAGCUUUGCCAAAGUAGAGUCAAUGGGAAAAUGCAGAUUGUUAUGAAAUCUUUGACGUCUUAUUCAUUCAGUGGAUACUUGUGGAGCUUCUCAUAGGAAAUCAAAUGCUGUACACAACCCUGGGGACAUUACAAGAGGAGGCAUGGUCCCUACUUAAGGAAUUCAUGGCUUCAUGGUAGCAGCUGGUAUCCUAUUGUCAAUAAAAAUCAGCUAUAAUACAAAUGGGGUGCUACAAUCAAGAUAUAUAUGACAAGUUACGGGAUAUUAAGACGGACGAUGCCUAAUCUGUUCAGAGAAAGUCAGGGGAGACUUUAGAGAGGAGAUAACUCUGGAACUGAGACCUAUAUAUUAAAAAGGGUUAGGAGGACAAGGUGAGGAAAAGCAUUUCAGCCAGAGAGUACAGCAUCUGCCAGCGGGGAUUGCAUGGAGGUUGAAACAAAAAGCAGAGUACAUUAGAAGUAAUUUACCGGGGGGUACAGCAAACGGUGUGUAGGAAACGGAGCUGGUGAGGAGGGGGAGUCAGGUUCUAGGAGGUGGAGGGCCUCCUAGGACAUCAUAAGGAGCUAAGAUUGUAUUUUGUGCGUAAUGGAGAGCCGUUGCCCAGUUUUAAGUCGGGGUGAGACAUACGGUGUUGCAGUCCCGAGAGAUUACCCACCCUGGGGACAGCACAGGGUAUGGCCCGUGCGAAGCUGAAUCAAGAAGCGAGGAGGUCCCUUGCGGGGCUGCUGUAUUUCUGGACUUACUUUUGUUGUAUUUAUGAAUUUACGUUGUAUCUAUGUAUUUAGGGAAGCAGUCAUGGGGGUGAGGAGGAGGAAGCAUCUUCAGAAAAUGCAGAGGGAAGGAAUCCCUGGACUUCACCGCUACUCAGCAGCACAUGACCAGCAUCUGUCUCUCCUUAAAGCCCUCCUCUUAUUUUUCAUCCUGGACACGAAACUCAUAGUUUGCCUUGUGUUUCACUGGCGCUUCCCUUUUUUCAGUCUCCUUUGCCAGCAACUCGUCCUUUUCCUGACCUCUGAUGUCGGCAGACCCUUUCGCACAAGAUGGGGAACCCGAAGGAGGCCAGGAGACCUGCUCCUGUCACUAACACACUGGGGUUGA
RNAcentral lists this long non-coding RNA (1289 nucleotides) under Felis catus (domestic cat). RNAcentral's name for it is "lncRNA (ENSFCAG00000046747.2)". The record is from RNAcentral. Lineage: Eukaryota; Metazoa; Chordata; Mammalia; Carnivora; Felidae.